RNAcentral lists this ribosomal RNA (252 nucleotides) under Triticum aestivum (bread wheat). Its description in RNAcentral is "partial small subunit ribosomal RNA". The record is from RNAcentral. Lineage: Eukaryota; Viridiplantae; Streptophyta; Magnoliopsida; Poales; Poaceae.
AUCAUUGAUAAAGUGGACCGUCGGCUUGCUGGCUGGCGCGGCCUGCUCCUUUCUCUGGCUGGGAGGGCCAUUCUGGUCCGUUCUGUGCUGCGUGCUUUGCCCAUCUAUGCUAUGAGUGCUCUAUUGAUUCCUACGGGCACUCUGCUUGAAAUCAAGAAACGCUGCCGUGCUUUUUUUUGGUCUGGACAGGACUCCAUCUCAGGAGGGCAAUGUAAAGUGGCUUGGGAUCUUGUUUGUGCUCCAUUCGAACAC